GGAAGUAAAAGUCAUAACAAGGUCUCCGUAGGUGAACCUGCGGAGGGAUCAUUACAGAGUUCAUGCCCUACCGUGUAGAUCUCCCACCCUAUGUUAUUAUUACUUUGUUGCUUUGGCGGGCCGUUAGGCUCCGGCCCGACUACCGGCCCCGGCUGGUAAGCGCCCGCCAGAGGACCCAAAACCCUGAAUAUUAGUGUCGUCUGAGUACUAUAUAAUAGUUAAAACUUUCAACAACGGAUCUCUUGGUUCUG
RNAcentral lists this unclassified non-coding RNA (251 nucleotides) under plant metagenome. RNAcentral describes it as "partial contains small subunit ribosomal RNA, internal transcribed spacer 1, and 5.8S ribosomal RNA". The stretch from base 1 to 54 matches the Rfam family "Eukaryotic small subunit ribosomal RNA", at positions 1778 to 1831 of the family's 1831-position model. The record is from RNAcentral.